GAUGUCCUAAGCUACCUUUUAUGCGCAAGUGCAAUGGUACUGGAUAACGUGUUGGAAUGUACUUUAGUUCUCACAAGUAACAAGUUAGUAUUUAGCUAGCUAGUACAAGAUACAAGUUAGUGAUCACCUCCCUUUCUCUCUCCUCUCGCUCUCACACACAGCAGUCAUUUUUCAAUCAAAAGAUUGAAUACAAAUGAAAAUAAAACUUGAUCAACAUCUAACCUGGCCAUGAUGAUGAAAUGAACUUCGUCAUCACUAUGUGUGGACUAAUCCUAAAACUUAGAUAUAUCCCUUAUUUGAUUAGCUCGCUAGCACAAGAGGCUAAGCCUUUGCUUGAAUAGAUUUGGAGGGUUCUGCUCAGGUGGGUGCAUGAAUUUGCAGUUAGGGCAAGCAGGAGAUGACUUGCAAAGCAUCACCAACAUGUGGCACCUUGUGCACACAGUGGCUACCAUCUCUUCCUCAUCAUCUCCUUCAAAUGCUAACCAUGACGGUGACCGCUUAAGUCCUUCUGAAUUCUUAUUAUCUUUACUUGAAUCCAUGAACAAAUGGCCCAAACCCUGCAUGGAGCUAGCAAAAUUAUGCUGGUUGUUUUCGUUGUUUUUCCUCUGUGACUCGCAUGGCUGCAGGUUUAGCUCAAGGUCUAAGCUCAUAUGGCAAGGACUUGGUGGCUCUGGGCUCCUCCUUGGAUCUCUAGUUGUUCUCUUCUGUGUCCUUGUAUUAUAGAAGUGUAUCUGCCCUGACUGCAGGCAAGAAGAGAAGAUGCAACACGACAUAACUAAUUAAGGACUUAGCUGAAUGAUGAAAUCAAUCAUAUUUCAGUUCAAGAAAAAACACUUGAUAUAAAGCAGAUAUAAUAUACCUGAAUGUCGAGGCAUCGUUGCCACUCCAAAGGCAAUGGAGUCUCAAGUUGAAGCUCUAUUUCAAAGAAAGAUUUUGUGAUUUCAGGAGGUUUUGAUCUUUUCUCGAAAAUCCCUUCAGUUAUUUGUGCAGGCUCGUCAUCCCACUUUCUUUUCUUGGAUGAAAUAUCAAGCUCUGGAAUUGUCGUCUUUCUUCCAUUUGGAGAGGUGGGUUCUUGAAGGGAAACCAUAGCUUCAAUUCAAAGAAACUCAAAACUCUAUAGCUUUUCACUAGCAGUUUAGUAAAUGAUCUCCAAGGUGAAACACUGAAACGCUUGGAUGGUUAUAUACAAGGCAGAGUAGUGGUCAGUCACAUAUAUACUGCAAGGGCAGAAUCUUGUAGGACAAAUUUGAAAGCAAAAGGGCCUACCUAUAUGUAUGACGUGCAACCUAAGUUGGCUCUUCAAUUACUCUCACAGCUGACAGCUUCAAGUUGAUCCUGAAGGCUAAGAUUUAUAUGCAUCAUAUGCAAGCCUAAGCAGCUCUGGUUGGUCAAAAUUAUAUAAGCAUUCACCUGACCUGGCGGCACCAAAAGUACCCAACACAUAAGACCAUAAUUAUUAUUGCUUGCAAGUCCUGGAAAGCGAGCUGUGUAGCCAUUAGCCAAGCCAAAAUACAGAAGCUAAAAGCUUUCUUUA
This 1534-nucleotide unclassified non-coding RNA is filed under the name Hevea brasiliensis (rubber tree). The record is from RNAcentral. Lineage: Eukaryota; Viridiplantae; Streptophyta; Magnoliopsida; Malpighiales; Euphorbiaceae.